This 73-nucleotide transfer RNA is filed under the name Loxodonta africana (African savanna elephant). It matches the Rfam family "tRNA". From Rfam's summary of the family: Transfer RNA (tRNA) molecules are approximately 80 nucleotides in length. Lineage: Eukaryota; Metazoa; Chordata; Mammalia; Proboscidea; Elephantidae. The record is from Rfam by way of RNAcentral.
GCCUUGGUAGUUCAAUGGUUAAGCACUUAGCUGCUAUACUAAAAGGUUGGUGGUUUGAACCCACCCAGAGGCU